RNAcentral lists this long non-coding RNA (215 nucleotides) under Prunus persica (peach). RNAcentral describes it as "long non-coding RNA (PPER_LNC008218)". Lineage: Eukaryota; Viridiplantae; Streptophyta; Magnoliopsida; Rosales; Rosaceae. The record is from RNAcentral.
CGCAUUUGUACUCACUUACUAUGUGUUAUGAGUCCUCCAAGGACAUAUGAGAUUGUUGAUAGCAUCUCUGUUCUCCACUUCCAACUCAUGGACAUGCAGAAUGACCCUCAAUCUAUUGAUCACAACCAGCAUAACACCAAACCCCUUACUGACUCUCUUGUUGCAAUUGAUGAGCCCGUUUUCAGUAAAAACCUUGUCGUUGUUGUAGUCCGUGG